AGCCUUAAUUCCAAACUAGUUGGGAUCGACUACGUGGAUCCUUUUUUGCUAUUCAGCUGUAUCAUGCACCAGGUCCGCAAAGAUAAAGUAUCAUAACUAUGAUAAAAAUUAAAAGUAUCACAAAUGAAUAAAAAACUAUGACAAGGCAUUAGUUAAUCCACAUAUGCAAAUAAAUUUAAGGGAAAUAAGACGCAUGGUUUUAAAUAAUGGCCAUUAUUUAAAACCAUGCGUCUUAUUUCCCUUAAAUUUAUUUGCAUAUGUGGAUUAACUAAUGCCUUGUCAUAGUUUUUUAUUCAUUUGUGAUACUUUUAAUUUUUAUCAUAGUUAUGAUACUUUAUCUUUGCGGACCUGGUGCAUGAUACAGCUGAAUAGCAAAAAAGGAUCCACGUAGUCGAUCCCAACUAGUUUGGAAUUAAGGCU
Molecule: unclassified non-coding RNA, 420 nt
Filed under: Hevea brasiliensis (rubber tree)
Lineage: Eukaryota; Viridiplantae; Streptophyta; Magnoliopsida; Malpighiales; Euphorbiaceae
Source: RNAcentral